AAGUCAUGAUGCGGGCAUCUUUUUAAUAAUUUCCCAAAUCGCUCCCACGCCUCGAAUAGUGAUUCUGUCUCAUUUUACUGAAAGCAACAUAUUUCUGUCAUCAGCUU
Abrus precatorius (Indian licorice) is the source of this 107-nucleotide small nucleolar RNA. The record is from RefSeq and is a predicted model, not a curated record. NCBI's taxonomy places the organism in Eukaryota, Viridiplantae, Streptophyta, Magnoliopsida, Fabales, Fabaceae.